AGAAACAGCCACAAAAAUGAUCAGACUUGAAGUUAUGAUUGCUUUUCUCAUUCUGUCAGAUAACUGGACAGGUAGUGAUGGUCAAACACUGACCGAAUCUGAAUCAGUGGUUAAAAGGCCUGGAGAAUCACACAGACUGACCUGCACAUAUUCUGGGUUUGAUCAGCAUUACUGGAACGCUUGGGUCAGACAGGCAGCUGGAAAAGGACUGGAGUGGGUUGCUACUAUUAGCUGGGAUAGUAAAAUCAUCUACCACUCUCAGUCAAUGAACAACCGCUUCACCAUCUCCAGAGAGAACAGCAAAUAUCAGGUGUAUCUGCAGAUGAACCAUUUGGCUGCUGAGGAUUCUGCUGUAUAUUACUGCGCUCGACAGUCACAGUGA
Molecule: non-coding RNA, 382 nt
Organism: Poeciliopsis prolifica (blackstripe livebearer)
Lineage: Eukaryota; Metazoa; Chordata; Actinopteri; Cyprinodontiformes; Poeciliidae
Source: the annotation of a RefSeq genome assembly